AGAGAGGUGGCCGAGUGGUCGAAGGCGCACGCUUGGAAAGCGUGUAUACGGCAACGUAUCGAGGGUUCGAAUCCCUUCCUCUCUA
This 85-nucleotide transfer RNA is filed under the name Polaribacter sp. Hel1_33_49. RNAcentral's name for it is "tRNA-Ser". It matches the Rfam family "tRNA". Rfam says of the family: Transfer RNA (tRNA) molecules are approximately 80 nucleotides in length. Lineage: Bacteria; Pseudomonadati; Bacteroidota; Flavobacteriia; Flavobacteriales; Flavobacteriaceae. The record is from RNAcentral. RNAcentral also lists the same sequence under 1 other name.